AGAGUUUGAUCCUGGCUCAGGACGAACGCUGGCGGCGUGCCUAAUACAUGCAAGUCGAACGCUUUUUCUUUCACCGGAGCUUGCUCCACCGAAAGAAAAAGAGUGGCGAACGGGUGAGUAACACGUGGGUAACCUGCCCAUCAGAAGGGGAUAACACUUGGAAACAGGUGCUAAUACCGUAUAACACUAUUUUCCGCAUGGAAGAAAGUUGAAAGGCGCUUUUGCGUCACUGAUGGAUGGACCCGCGGUGCAUUAGCUAGUUGGUGAGGUAACGGCUCACCAAGGCCACGAUGCAUAGCCGACCUGAGAGGGUGAUCGGCCACACUGGGACUGAGACACGGCCCAGACUCCUACGGGAGGCAGCAGUAGGGAAUCUUCGGCAAUGGACGAAAGUCUGACCGAGCAACGCCGCGUGAGUGAAGAAGGUUUUCGGAUCGUAAAACUCUGUUGUUAGAGAAGAACAAGGAUGAGAGUAGAACGUUCAUCCCUUGACGGUAUCUAACCAGAAAGCCACGGCUAACUACGUGCCAGCAGCCGCGGUAAUACGUAGGUGGCAAGCGUUGUCCGGAUUUAUUGGGCGUAAAGCGAGCGCAUGCGGUUUCUUAAGUCUGAUGUGAAAGCUCCUCGGCUCAACCGGGGAGGGUCAUUGGAAACUGGGAGACUUGAGUGCAGAAGAGGAGAGUGGAAUUACAUGUGUAGCGGUGAAAUGCGUAGAUAUAUGGAGGAACACCAGUGGCGACGCGGCUCUCUGGUCUGUAACUGACGCUGAGGCUCGAAAGCGUGGGGAGCGA
This 791-nucleotide ribosomal RNA is filed under the name uncultured bacterium. RNAcentral's name for it is "bacterial SSU rRNA". It matches the Rfam family "Bacterial small subunit ribosomal RNA", at positions 8 to 771 of the family's 1533-position model. The record is from RNAcentral.